GAGAUUCUUGUAGACUGCCAGAAA
This 24-nucleotide non-coding RNA is filed under the name Cricetulus griseus (Chinese hamster). Lineage: Eukaryota; Metazoa; Chordata; Mammalia; Rodentia; Cricetidae. The record is from RNAcentral.